Molecule: small RNA, 57 nt
Filed under: Sinorhizobium meliloti 2011
Lineage: Bacteria; Pseudomonadati; Pseudomonadota; Alphaproteobacteria; Hyphomicrobiales; Rhizobiaceae
Description: putative ncRNA
Source: RNAcentral
AUGACGCGUCGUGCGUAGAAAAGCCGCCCGUCGCGACGGUCGUCAUCGCGUGGUUGA